CUGCAUGGCUGUCGUCAGCCCGUGUCGUGAGAUGUUGGGUUAAGUCCGUAACGUAGCGCAACCCUUGUCCUUAGUUACCAGCACGUUAUGGUGGGCACUCUAAGGAGACUGCCGGUGACAAACCGGAGGAAGGUGGGGAUGACGUCAAGUCAUCAUGGCCCUUACGGCCUGGGCUACACACGUGCUACAAUGGUCGGUACAAAGGGUUGCCAAGCCGCGAGGUGGAGCUAAUCCCAUAAAACCGAUCGUAGUCCGGAUCGCAGUCUGCAACUCGACUGCGUGAAGUCGGAAUCGCUAGUAAUCGUGAAUCAGAAUGUCACGGUGAAUACGUUCCCGGGCCUU
Molecule: ribosomal RNA, 342 nt
Filed under: uncultured Pseudomonas sp.
Lineage: Bacteria; Pseudomonadati; Pseudomonadota; Gammaproteobacteria; Pseudomonadales; Pseudomonadaceae
Description: bacterial SSU rRNA
Rfam family: Bacterial small subunit ribosomal RNA
Source: RNAcentral